Molecule: ribosomal RNA, 379 nt
Filed under: uncultured bacterium
Lineage: Bacteria
Description: bacterial SSU rRNA
Rfam family: Bacterial small subunit ribosomal RNA
Source: RNAcentral
AUUGAACGCUGGCGGCGUGCCUAACACAUGCAAGUCGAGCGGUAACAGGUGUAGCAAUACAUGCUGACGAGCGGCGGACGGGUGAGUAACGCUUGGGAAUCUGCCUAUUAGUGGGGGACAACCCGGGGAAACUCGGGCUAAUACCGCAUACGCUCUACGGAGGAAAGCCGGGGACCGCAAGGCCUGGCGCUAAUAGAUGAGCCCAAGUCGGAUUAGCUAGUUGGUAGGGUAAUGGCCUACCAAGGCGACGAUCCGUAACUGGUCUGAGAGGACGACCAGUCACACCGGAACUGAGACACGGUCCGGACUCCUACGGGAGGCAGCAGGUGGGGAAUAUUGGACAAUGGGCGAAAGCCUGAUCCAGCGACGCCGCGUGGGU